Molecule: long non-coding RNA, 1395 nt
Filed under: Catharus ustulatus (Swainson's thrush)
Lineage: Eukaryota; Metazoa; Chordata; Aves; Passeriformes; Turdidae
Description: lncRNA (ENSCUSG00005006345.1)
Source: RNAcentral
CCAGUGGGACAAAACAGGCCUAGACUGGGGUCACACACAGACCCCUGUACCAAAGUACACUCACCUGGUAAAAGGUGGUUCCAACACCUCUGGAGAAGUCAGCGUUGUCCCAAAAUACAGCGAUCAUGGGGACCUCUUCAUGGCCAUUGAAGCCACCGGGAGGAGGGUUGGGGGGAGGAAGCAUACUCAUUUCAACUCCAAAUGAGCUGACAGCCAGGGUGGUGCUGGCCCCCGCAGAUGAGAAAGUGGGAGUCUUGUCACAGUCAGAUGUCAUGGCCAUGGAGGUUGGAGUGGGUGUGGUGAUAGUGGGUCCCAGCCCUGCUGGGGUAGUGCUGGUAGUGAGUCCCAGUUGUGCUGGGGUAGUGCUGGUGAUAGCGGGUCCCAGUUGUGCUGGGGUGGUGCUGGUGGUACUGGGUCCCAGCUGUGCUGGGGUGGUGCUGGUGGUGGGUCCCAGCCCUGCUGGGGUGGUGCUGGUGGUACUGGGUCCCAGCUGUGCUGGGGUGGUGCUGGUGGUGGUGGGUCCCAGCUGUGCUGGGGUGGUGCUAGUGGUGGGUCCCAGUUGUGCUGGGGUGGUGCUGGUGGUGGUGGGUCCCAGCCCAGGCGACACACGAGUGCUGUGAGCUGUGCUGCCCCUUGCCUGUGGCAUGGUGAUGUUGGAGGCUGCCAGGCUGCUCUGCUGAGCUGUAGAAGCAUUGGGUGUGAAGGUAUCCAUUGGCAUCUCUGGACGAGAGAAAGGGAAGGUGGCUGCAGUGCUUGAGCUGGUGUUGGGCAGCAGUGCCACGGUCUCUGUGGGUGUCAAGGAGGUUGGGAGAGUCAGGGAUACAGUCAUAUCUUGGACAGUGUUCCCUGCAAAGAUGUGGGAAACAGCACACAAGGGCUGGCAGUGAAAGCCAGCACGGCUGUGCUGGGCAUGGUGCAAUAUUGCUACUGCUAUGAACUGCCCGAGUUUUGCAUCAGUCAUGGAUCAUCAGGAGUGGGGAUUCCCUGUCCUACAUGGAUCAAGCACGUGGAUUCCCUGAAUAGCACAUGACAAUCAUAAAUCCCCAGCCUGACAAAGCAGGAACAAGCCAUGGCCAUCGCUGGUUUCAGGGCAGAAACUCCUCUAGGCGCCAGUCCUAAGACCCAUUCCACCAUCUUCACCCAUCCCUGGAGGAAGUCAGACAAACCCGUCUGACAGGAAGAGCCAAGCAGGAACUGGUGACCGUGAGAUGGUCUGGAAAUGCAGCAGCAGCAGUUUAAACAAACCCUCUGUGCUCAGAUAGUCAGGAACUGAUAGCGGUGGGUGUAAAUAAUGGUAACGGGGGAAGCAGCCCCACAAAGGAACAAAUCCCAGCUUGCAGCUCAGGGCAAGUCCAUGAGAGACCUUUUGCAACCCACAAAAGCUCUGGGAGGGGG